AGGUGCUGCAUGGCUGUCGUCAGCUCGUGUCGUGAGAUGUUCGGUUAAGUCCGGCAACGAGCGCAACCCUCAUCUUCAGUUACUAACAGGUUAUGCUGAGGACUUUGGAGAAACUGCCGUUGGAAAAGCGGAGGAAGGCGAGGAUGACGUCAAGUCCUCAUGGCCCUUAUGGGCUGGGCUACACACGUGCUACAAUGGUAAUUACAAUAGGCGCGAAAAGGCAACUUUGAGCUAAUCUUCAAAAAUUAUCUUAGUUCGGAUUGUUCUCUGCAACUCGAGAGCAUGAAGUUGGAAUUGCUAGUAAUCGUGGAUCAGCAUGCCACGGUGAAUACGUUCCCGGGUCUUGUACACACCGCCCGUCACA
RNAcentral lists this ribosomal RNA (364 nucleotides) under uncultured Alphaproteobacteria bacterium. RNAcentral describes it as "bacterial SSU rRNA". It matches the Rfam family "Bacterial small subunit ribosomal RNA", at positions 1036 to 1401 of the family's 1533-position model. Lineage: Bacteria; Pseudomonadati; Pseudomonadota; Alphaproteobacteria. The record is from RNAcentral.